Long non-coding RNA from Lactuca sativa (garden lettuce), 971 nucleotides. RefSeq lists it as uncharacterized. Lineage: Eukaryota; Viridiplantae; Streptophyta; Magnoliopsida; Asterales; Asteraceae. The record is from RefSeq and is a predicted model, not a curated record.
CGUUUUUAGGUCGUGUUUCGUGUUCAGUCUAUCAAAAGGGGCUCCAAGAACAACAGAGGCGUCGUCCUCUUUAUGGAUCGGGAGAGGGAAGAAUCGAGCGAUCAAGCGGUGAACGGAGGUGUAUCGGUGGUGGUAAUCGAUCGGAAUAAGUGAGCAUAUCCGGUGUUUGGCCGAACCAGAGGAAGGAAGGCACGAGGCAGCGAGAUUUUGCUCUUUGUCGUCCGAAUGGGAGGUGCGAAGAGAGGAGGAGAGAUCAGCAACGACGGGGUUUGUCUUCGGGGUUUGACGAGGCCGAAGUGACGGAGAAAAUGGUGGAGUGUCGCGAGCAGCAGCUGCGAAGGAGUCCGGGUCCUUGGUGGGUGCAACGAUGAGAUUCGAUCGAGGGUUGAAGAGGAGGCACCUUCGGUGCUUGGCUGGACCGAAGAGAAGAAGAAAAAGAGAAUCGAAGCAGCGGGAUGUGGGGUCUGCCAUUGGUUUCCGAUGACAAAGCCCCGACAAUGGGCUGUUUGGUGAUCGGGAAAGGCAGCAGCAGCGAUGGGGUGAUUUGGAAUCAAUGUAGGAUAAAGAUUGAUGUUUGGAUUUGUUUUUGAUAGAAAUUGAUAGGCUUGUUGUUCGACAAGGGAAAGCAGGAAAACAGAUGAGGAAAGGGAUGUUUGAGUGGUGCUUGUCACCGAGGGAGAGGGAGAACGGGGCUGCCUCUUCUUGACUUUCACAGGGAAGUGAAAGAGAAGAAGGGUGGAGUGUUAGAUUGAGGGUAGAGUGCAGAAGAUGGUAAACGUGAUUGAAGCAACAGGGAUGAUCUUUAUUUGAUUGUAAUUGUAAAGAUUGAUCUUGUAGCACAUGUAGCUAAUUUUUAAUUAAGAUAUGGGGGAUAUGGGGAUGUGCUUGAUAGAUUUAGGAUGAUAUUUGGGUUUUAAGAUUUGUAUAAAUAUUUCUAGAGAAAUUAAAUAUCCUCCUACCUUUUCUUCCUA